GAUGAACGCUGGUGGUGUGUCUAAGGCAUGCAAGGUCGAACGAUUCCUUCGGGAAGAGUGGCGAACGGGUGCGUAACACGUCGGUAUCUACCCUUAUCUCUGGAAUAAUCCCGCGAAAGCGGGACUAAUACCAGAUAGUCUGCAGCUUGCUGCAGUAAAGAUUUAUCGGAUGAGGAUGAACCGGCGGCUGAUUAGCUUGUUGGUGAGGUAAAAGCUCACCAAGGCCGCGAUCAGUAGCGGGUGUGAGAGCACGACCCGCCUCCACAGGGACUGAGACACUGCCCUG
RNAcentral lists this ribosomal RNA (286 nucleotides) under uncultured bacterium. RNAcentral describes it as "partial 16S ribosomal RNA". It matches the Rfam family "Bacterial small subunit ribosomal RNA", at positions 28 to 334 of the family's 1533-position model. The record is from RNAcentral.